RNAcentral lists this ribosomal RNA (379 nucleotides) under uncultured Cylindrospermum sp. RNAcentral's name for it is "bacterial SSU rRNA". It matches the Rfam family "Bacterial small subunit ribosomal RNA", at positions 376 to 770 of the family's 1533-position model. The record is from RNAcentral. Lineage: Bacteria; Bacillati; Cyanobacteriota; Cyanophyceae; Nostocales; Nostocaceae.
CGAAAGCCUGACGGAGCAAUACCGCGUGAGGGAGGAAGGCUCUUGGGUUGUAAACCUCUUUUCUCAGGGAAUAAGAUCUGAAGGUACCUGAGGAAUAAGCAUCGGCUAACUCCGUGCCAGCAGCCGCGGUAAUACGGAGGAUGCAAGCGUUAUCCGGAAUGAUUGGGCGUAAAGCGUCCGCAGGUGGCUAUGUAAGUCUGCUGUUAAAGAGCAAAGCUUAACUUUGUAAAAGCAGUGGAAACUACAUAGCUAGAGUGCGUUCGGGGUAGAGGGAAUUCCUGGUGUAGCGGUGAAAUGCGUAGAGAUCAGGAAGAACACCGGUGGCGAAGGCGCUCUACUAGGCCGCAACUGACACUGAGGGACGAAAGCUAGGGGAGCG